RNAcentral lists this long non-coding RNA (3163 nucleotides) under Sorghum bicolor (sorghum). Its description in RNAcentral is "long non-coding RNA (SBIC_LNC001456)". Lineage: Eukaryota; Viridiplantae; Streptophyta; Magnoliopsida; Poales; Poaceae. The record is from RNAcentral.
AUGAAUGGCUGCAAUGCACCAGACUUUGAAUAAACCUGCUCAAACCCUAUCGUCUCCUCCUCAGCUGCAGUAGAUAUCGGCGCCUCCUCCAGCGCCUCUUUUUUCCUUUUCCCCAUCCUCGCAUCGGGCAGAGCAGUGGCUCUCAGUGUGCCCAAACCCUAGCUUCGCACUACACAGCUCGCCAGAUCUCGCCCACGCGGAUCCGGCCCUUGCCGCAGUGGACCAUGCCCCUCCAUGUUUGGAGUCCCGACGGCUGGCUCGUCUCCCACCUUCCAUGACCACGGUGGGCACGGUGAACUGCACGAACAACACGACCUCGGCGAACCAGCAUGGAGGCCUGCCCGCGUGGUGCAGGCCCCAACUGCGCGCGUGGUGCAGGGGCAUGGCGACGGCCGGCUCCAGGAGGUGAGGAUCUCCUUCUCUCCUCUUUUUAUUUUUUUAUUUAGGGUCAGGGUUAGGGAUUCGGGAAAUAGAAGACUAUUCCUUCUAAUUGCAUAGCUCAUGGACUGAAUCACCCUUAAUUUCAUAAGACUAGAUCUAAUCAUGAUUUGUCUCAGGUCCCACAAACUGCUCUAGUAUUUUUGGAAAAGCAUUAGGGACUAAUCUUCUAGUAAUUUGAUCAAACCUGCUCUUCUUUGAAGAAUGAACAUCAUAUCUGCAACGCCAACCACUGCACCACCGUAUCUCUGCAACUGCAGAUUUAGACAAAUUCUGCGGAGCAUAUUUCCAAAGUAAGCUAGUUAUGAAUCUUUGAAGUUAUAAAUGAUACAUAUAUAAUUCUAUAUAUCUGGAUAGGACUGAAUCAUGCCAUGAUUCAGAUUCUAAAGUUACAUGAUGAAAAAAUAAUGUGAAAAAUCUUUAUCUACUAGUGAUACUCGACAGAGGAUUCUUGUGAAAUUUUGAAUGCCUUCCAAGUGAUCAAAGUACAAAAUUUGCUAAAUAGUAAGUGCCAUAUCAGGCAAGUGUGUUAAGUUUAUAUAAGUACUGAAGAAAUAAGGAAAGCUAACUAUUUCCUGAAGAGUGAAAUGGUGAAUCGAAUUGAAUCAUCAUUUUUUGGACAGUGAAAUGGUGAACUGAAUUUUUAGCAACCUGCGCAGUUGAAAAAUAAAAUCAGAAAAUUGUUAGCAUACUAAGGCUUAGCUGUGCAUAUAUAGUUGAUUACAGUCAGCACUGCAUACAUGUAAAUAGUCAUAUUGCAAUCUGCAAACAGUUAUAGAAUAAAAAGUCCACUACACUUCAAGAUAGUGCACUAAAGAAUUUGAUUGAACACGUGUACAAAGGAAGUUAGCAUGGUACCAGAUGUCAAAGAUCCUUGCAUAGUCUCUCAAAACAAUGUGUUGACAUUUCCUGAUAUCCUCGAUUAUAAUUACCGAUCUACAUGUUCGAUAGCAGAGUUAAUACAAGUACAAUGAUAUUAGGACAACUGAUAUAGGAGCUCUCGGACAUUAAUGCAUUUUCUAGAAACUGGAUUUAAUAAGGUACAGGUCUGUCAAUAUACAUAUCCAUCCAGACAAUGCCAAAUUGCAGGCAAGUAGGCAUCACCUUGCACUAUGCACAGCAAUUAGUAAGAAAAAAAAUAUUUCCAUUGAUAAAUAAAAGAUAAUUAGUCAAUUAGAUAAGAUAAUUACCUUCAGAGUAGUGAAUGCUUCUGAAAUUUGUAGCGCUGAGUGCCAGUCUUGUAGCUCAUGGAGCGAACCACCCUUGAGUGAAAUUUGUAGCUCAUAUACAUGCCUUGUUCUAACAUUCUUAGGGCGCAUCAUUUAUUUCAGGUUAAAAAGGAUGUUAUAUUAUAUGCUAUAUUGAGAUCUGAGUUACCCGUGGCUAGGGGGACAAUCCUUUCAACUACUCCAAGCACUAUUGUAGGAGGAUAGUCCAUUCAAUAAAGUAAUAAACUAGACUUGAUAGAAUUUUCAUUUCCACGACCUCUGAUGCAUGACCAAUGUUUCUAAUUAAUCCUAUAUGUGAUAGAUAAAGGAAUGCAAGAAGAGGGAAGACAAGAAGGCAUCAAGCACACCUCUCAAGGGCACUACAGGUAUGUCCCUUGACUACCUGUAAAACCUACUGACUAAAUUCAGCACCUAGUGACAAUCCUCAAGUAAUGAUUUAACUUACUGUUGUACUACUAUAAAAAUGUGUGAAGGUUUUGACCAGCCAAGAAAGUUUCUGGUUAGAUAUUUAGUAUGUAACAGUAGCCCAUUUUUUCUAGGCCUUAGUCAUCUUGUUUGUCACAUGACAGUGCUGCUAUGUUCAUAAAAAAACAUGACAAUGCUGCUAGGUAGAGGCCUUUGCACUCGACUGAUCUGCACCUAAUUAUUUUAGUCAUCUUGCCACUAAUAAGAAGUAUACGUGCUCCCUAGUGGUAAAUUUACUAAUUCUCUAGUGCUCCCUAGGAUGAGGCAAAUGGAAUUGUUGAAUGAUUCUGAAAACAAGAAGAGUUAUGCCCAUGGCAACCCACUGCCUCAACCUAGCAAGUGACUCAACCUAGCAAGCAGAAUUUAGCUAGCAAGUAAAAGAGAGAAUCUUUUAAAGAUGAUCCUACUCACACACUAGUAGUACACUACUAUUAUACAAUAGCUUUAUAUUAUUUUCUCCAACUCAACCUAGCAAGCAGAAUUUAGCUAGCAAGUAGAAGAGAUAUUCUUUUUAACAGAUGAUCGUACUCACACACUAGUAGUACACUACUAUUGUACAACAACUUUUUAUUAUUUUCUCCACUUGCCUAAUUACAUGUUAUAUUUUUCAGGAAGUGCUAGGCACAACAAGUGUUUGGCUUAAGUUCAUGGAAAAUGGUUCUCCACAACCUGGUGGACGUGCUUUUGGUUUUUCAUUUUCUAUUGUGUGCACCAACCUUAGUAUUAUAUAUCAAACACAAACUACUAUAUAUUGCUUGGUGUACAUUCAUGUAAGCUUGUGUUGGAUAAUGUACUAUGCAAGACAAGAUUGUAUGUUUGACUUUGUUGGAUAAUGUAGUGUGAUGUAAUGUGCAAGACAAGAUUGUAUGGUACAAUAUAUAUAUAUCUACCUUCAUAUCAUGUAUGACCUUAUAUCUUUGUGUGUGAUGGACAUUGAGCUUGAAUGUGGGUUUGAUGUGCUAAAUAUUUCCAUUUUUUUGUAUUCGAAUUGUGUCGUUGAACAAUCUGACGCUAUAUAUAUGUUGAUCAUU